UCAGCUAUGGUAUUAUUGAAAAUGUAGAAAAGUUUAAGACGGUGGCUAUCUCUUAUUAAAAUGGGGUGAUGCCGAUGUUUUUGUUUCGGGCUUUCCCCAGAAAGGAAAACCCAUGAGUAUCUUCGAAGCCUUGAUGUUUGCACUAGCUUUUGCAACAUUGGUUUUAAAAAUCUCAUCUAAUGACAAAAA
The sequence is a small RNA, 189 nucleotides long. It matches the Rfam family "Listeria sRNA rli28".